AAUAAGAGGUCCCGCCUGCCCUGUGACUAUAUGUUUAACGGCCGCGGUAUUUUGACCGUGCGAAGGUAGCGCAAUCACUUGUCUUUUAAAUGGAGACCUGUAUGAAUGGCAUAACGAGGGCUCAACUGUCUCCUUUUUCAAGUCAGUGAAAUUGAUCUCCCCGUGCAGAAGCGGGGAUACUUACAUAAGACGAGAAGACCCUAUGGAGCUUCAGACACCAAGGCAGAUUAUGUUAAUAAAUCCCACAUAAGGGGACAAACAGGAUAAGCCCUGCCCUAAUGUCUUUGGUUGGGGCGACCGCGGGGAAAUAAAUAACCCCCAUGUGGAACGGGAUUAUUGAUCCUACAACUAAGAGCCCCCGCUCUAAGUACCAGAAUUUCUGACCAAAAAGAUCCGGCAAUGCCGAUCAACGGACCGAGUUACCCUAGGGAUAACAGCGCAAUCCCCUUUUAGAGUCCAUAUCGACAAGGGGGUUUACGACCUCGAUGUUGGAUCAGGACAUCCUAAUGGUGCAGCCGCUAUUAAGGGUUCGUUUGUUCAACGAUUAAAGUCCU
RNAcentral lists this ribosomal RNA (554 nucleotides) under Bodianus parrae. RNAcentral describes it as "partial 16S ribosomal RNA". It matches the Rfam family "Bacterial large subunit ribosomal RNA", at positions 1844 to 2597 of the family's 2925-position model. Lineage: Eukaryota; Metazoa; Chordata; Actinopteri; Labriformes; Labridae. The record is from RNAcentral.